RNAcentral lists this ribosomal RNA (428 nucleotides) under uncultured crenarchaeote. RNAcentral's name for it is "partial 16S ribosomal RNA". It matches the Rfam family "Archaeal small subunit ribosomal RNA", at positions 63 to 468 of the family's 1478-position model. Lineage: Archaea; Thermoproteati; Thermoproteota. The record is from RNAcentral.
CCCUUCGGAAUGGGAAGGUGGUGGCGCACGGCUCAGUAAUASGCAGUCAACCUGCCCUCAGGAGGCGCAUAACCUCGGGAAACUGAGGCUAAUGCSCGAUAGGAUAAAGCGCCUGGAAAGGGCUUUASCCGAAAGGGCCUGGYGACCAUCCUUCGCCAGGCCGCCUGAGGAUGGGRCUGCGGCCGAUCAAGUAGUUGGUGGGGUAAAGGCCCACCAMGCCUAUAACCGGUACGGGCUCUGAGAGGAGGAGCCCGGAGAUGGGCCCUGAGACAAGGGCCCASGCCCUACGGGGCGCAGCAGGCGCGAAACCUGCRCAAUGGGCGAAAGCCCGACGCGGUCMCCCCGAGUGCCUCCCGGGGAGGGAGGCUUUUCCCGGCUCUAAAAGGGCCRGRAAAUAAGGGGAGGACAAGCCUGGUGUCCCCCGCCRM